RNAcentral lists this ribosomal RNA (407 nucleotides) under uncultured bacterium. RNAcentral describes it as "partial 16S ribosomal RNA". It matches the Rfam family "Bacterial small subunit ribosomal RNA", at positions 30 to 526 of the family's 1533-position model. The record is from RNAcentral.
AUUGAACGCUAGCGGGAUGCCUUACACAUGCAAGUCGAACGGAGUGGCGAACGGGGGAGUAAUGUAUCGGAACGUGCCCUGUAGCGGGGGAUAACUACGCGCAAGCGUAGCUAAUCACGCAACAUAUUGGAGCGGCCGAUAUCGGUUGAGGUAGUUGGUGGGGUAACGGCUCACCAAGGCGAGGAUCCGUAGCUGGUUUGAGAGGCCGACCAGCCACACUGGGACUGAGACACGGCCCAGACUCCUACGGGAGGCAGAAGUGGGGAAUAUUGGACAAUGGGGGAAACCCUGAUCCAGCCAUGCCGCGUGUGCGAUGAAGGCCUUCGGGUUGUAAAGCACUUUUGGCAGGAAAGCGGUACCUGCAGAAUAAGCACCGGCUAACUACGUGCCAGCAGCCGCGGUAAUAC